UGGAUCCAGACUUUGAUCCUGGCUCAGGAUGAACGCUAGCUACAGGCUUAACACAUGCAAGUCGAGGGGAAACGACAUUGGAAGCUUGCUUCCGAUAGGCGUCGACCGGCGCACGGGUGAGUAACGCGUAUCCAACCUGCCCACCACUUGGGGAUAACCUUGCGAAAGUAAGACUAAUACCCAAUGAUAUCUCAAGAAGACAUCUGAAUGAGAUUAAAGAUUUAUCGGUGAUGGAUGGGGAUGCGUCUGAUUAGCUUGUUGGCGGGGUAACGGCCCACCAAGGCGACGAUCAGUAGGGGUUCUGAGAGGAAGGUCCCCCACAUUGGAACUGAGACACGGUCCAAACUCCUACGGGAGGCAGCAGUGAGGAAUACUGGUCAAUGGACGAGAGUCUGAACCAGCCAAGUAGCGUGCAGGAUGACGGCCCUAUGGGUUGUAAACUGCUUUUAUAAGGGAAUAAAGUGAGCCUCGUGAGGCUUUUUGCAUGUACCUUAUGAAUAAGGACCGGCUAAUUCCGUGCCAGCAGCCGCGGUAAUACGGAAGGUCCGGGCGUUAUCCGGAUUUAUUGGGUUUAAAGGGAGCGUAGGCCGGAGAUUAAGCGUGUUGUGAAGUGUAGAUGCUCAACAUCUGCACUGCAGCGCGAACUGGUUUCCUUGAGUACGCACAAAGUGGGCGGAAUUCGUGGUGUAGCGGUGAAAUGCUUAGAUAUCACGAAGAACUCCGGUUGCGAAGGCAGCUCACUGGAGCGCAACUGACGCUGAAGCUCGAAAGUGCGGGUAUCGAACAGGAUUAGAUACCCUGGUAGUUCCGCACGGUAAACGAUGGAUGCCCGCUGUUGG
RNAcentral lists this ribosomal RNA (839 nucleotides) under uncultured Bacteroidota bacterium. RNAcentral's name for it is "bacterial SSU rRNA". It matches the Rfam family "Bacterial small subunit ribosomal RNA", at positions 1 to 826 of the family's 1533-position model. Lineage: Bacteria; Pseudomonadati; Bacteroidota. The record is from RNAcentral.